GAGUUUGAUCGUGGCUCAGGAUGAACGCUAGCGGCAGGCCUAACACAUGCAAGUCGAGGGGUAGAAGGAGCUUGCUCCUUUGAGACCGGCGCACGGGUGCGUAACGCGUAUGCAAUCUGCCUUGUACUGAGGGAUAGCCCAGAGAAAUUUGGAUUAAUACCUCAUAGUAUAUAACCUUCGCAUGUUGGUUAUAUUAAAGUUCCAGCGGUACAAGAUGAGCAUGCGUCCCAUUAGUUAGUUGGUAAGGUAACGGCUUACCAAGACGAUGAUGGGUAGGGGUCCUGAGAGGGAGAUCCCCCACACUGGUACUGAGACACGGACCAGACUCCUACGGGAGGCAGCAGUGAGGAAUAUUGGUCAAUGGGCGCAAGCCUGAACCAGCCAUGCCGCGUGCAGGAUGAAGCAUCUAUGGUGUGUAAACUGCUUUUAUACGGGAAGAAACACUCCUACGUGUAGGAACUUGACGGUACCGUAAGAAUAAGGAUCGGCUAACUCCGUGCCAGCCGCCGCC
This 511-nucleotide ribosomal RNA is filed under the name uncultured Flavobacterium sp. RNAcentral describes it as "bacterial SSU rRNA". It matches the Rfam family "Bacterial small subunit ribosomal RNA", at positions 9 to 519 of the family's 1533-position model. The record is from RNAcentral. Lineage: Bacteria; Pseudomonadati; Bacteroidota; Flavobacteriia; Flavobacteriales; Flavobacteriaceae.